Populus euphratica (Euphrates poplar) is the source of this 730-nucleotide long non-coding RNA. RefSeq lists it as uncharacterized. Lineage: Eukaryota; Viridiplantae; Streptophyta; Magnoliopsida; Malpighiales; Salicaceae. The transcript is spliced from 2 exons. The record is from RefSeq and is a predicted model, not a curated record.
UUACCAGAUUAAAUGGCUAACAAAAGAGGUUAGCUGGAUGCUAGGUAAUUCGUAUGGAAUUAUCGGAUUGACUUUGGCAACCAAGAUGGGUUAGCCAGAUUUCUUGGGUAAUUAAGAGAAUUAUCGGGUUUAUUGGUUAAUAAGGAAGCUAACUAGAUAUGGGGUAAUUCGUAUGGAAUUACCGGAUUGAUUGGCUAACAAAAAAGGUUAACCGAAUGUUAUGUAAUUCGUAUGGAAUUACUAGAUUAAUUGGCUAACAAAAGAGGUUAGCUGGAUGGUAGGUAAUUCGUAUGGAAUUACCAGAUUGACUUUGGCAACCAAGAUGGGUUAGCUAAAUUUCUUAGGUAAUUAAGAGAAUUAUCAGGUUUAUUGGUUAACAAGGAAGUUAACUGGAUAUGGGGUAAUUCGUAUGGAAUUACCGGAUUGAUUGGUUAACAAAAAAGGUUAGCCGGAUGUUAUGUAAUUCGUAUGGAAUUACCGGAUUGACUUUGGCAACCAAGAUGGGUUAGUCAGAUUGCUUGGGUAAUUAAAAAAAUUACCAGGUUUAUUGGUUAAUAAGAAAGUUAACUGAAUAUGGGAUAAUUCGUAUGGAAUUACAGGAUUGAUUGACUAACAAAAGAAGUUAGCUGGAGGCUGGGUAAUUCGUAUGGAAUUACCAAAAGUACUGGUAACCGAGGAAGGUUAACCAAAUAUGUGGGUAAUUAUAUGAAAUUACCAGAAUUAUUGGCAA